Molecule: ribosomal RNA, 467 nt
Filed under: uncultured bacterium
Lineage: Bacteria
Description: partial 16S ribosomal RNA
Rfam family: Bacterial small subunit ribosomal RNA
Source: RNAcentral
GAUGAACGCUGACAGAAUGCUUAACACAUGCAAGUCAACUUGAAUUUGGGUUUUUAACUUCGGUUUGGGUGGCGGACGGGUGAGUAACGCGUAAAGAACUUGCCUCACAGCUAGGGACAACAUUUGGAAACGAAUGCUAAUACCUAAUAUUAUGAUAAUAGGGCAUCCUAUAAUUAUGAAAGCUAUAAGCGCUGUGAGAGAGCUUUGCGUCCCAUUAGCUAGUUGGAGAGGUAACGGCUCACCAAGGCGAUGAUGGGUAGCCGGCCUGAGAGGGUGAUCGGCCACAAGGGGACUGAGACACGGCCCUUACUACUACGGGAGGCAGCAGUGGGGAAUAUUGGACAAUGGACCGAGAGUCUGAUCCAGCAAUUCUGUGUGCACGAUGAAGUUUUUCGGAAUGUAAAGUGCUUUCAGUUGGGAAGAAACAAAUGACGGUACCAACAGAAGAAGUGACGGCUAAAUACGUG